UGGGGAAUAUUGCACAAUGGGCGCAAGCCUGAUGCAGCCAUGCCGCGUGUGUGAAGAAGGCCUUCGGGUUGUAAAGCACUUUCAGCGAGGAGGAAGGUGGUGAGCUUAAUACGCUCAUCAAUUGACGUUACUCGCAGAAGAAGCACCGGCUAACUCCGUGCCAGCAGCCGCGGUAAUACGGAGGGUGCAAGCGUUAAUCGGAAUUACUGGGCGUAAAGCGCACGCAGGCGGUUUGUUAAGUCAGNUGUGAAAUCCCCGGGCUCAACCUGGGAACUGCAUUUGAAACUGGCAAGCUAGAGUCUCGUAGAGGGGGGUAGAAUUCCAGGUGUAGCGGUGAAAUGCGUAGAGAUCUGGAGGAAUACCGGUGGCGAAGGCGGCCCCCCUGGACGAAGACUGACGCUCAGGUGCGAAAGCGUGGGGCAGCAAACAGGAUUAGAUACCCUGGUAGUCCAGCGCUGUAAACGAUGUCGAUUUGGAGGUUGUGCCCUUGAGGCGUGGCUUCCGGAGCUAACGCGUUAAAUCGACCGCCUGGGGAGUACGGCCGCAAGGUUAAAACUCAAAGGAAUUGACGGGGUC
This 576-nucleotide ribosomal RNA is filed under the name uncultured bacterium. RNAcentral describes it as "partial 16S ribosomal RNA". It matches the Rfam family "Bacterial small subunit ribosomal RNA", at positions 355 to 920 of the family's 1533-position model. The record is from RNAcentral.